UUCUGUUUCAGAGAUCGCGAGUUCGCAAUAAUUCUCCUUCUUGCCAGCAGGCUCCUCCGUGGUGUGAUGUACACCUCAAGGACAGAACACGCGCCUACUUGAAGGCCACACAGCCUUGGGCCCGGAGGCGUUAUCUCCGGGGCCCUUCCGUGGAGAUCUGCCGAGCCUCCCCGCGAGGUUCCCGAGCUCACUGAGCAAGCGCACAACCGGCUAGGCUGCUUCGGGGAGCGACCUGCAGUGGAAAGGCCGGGACUAGUCUCCGGUCCUAGCGGUGCUGGGUGCAGGAGGCCGCAGCCACCCGCGGACGCCAAGUAACUCACACCGGCUUUCUCCAGUAAUAAUCAGAGGGAGGAGGGAGCGUGCGAGGAGUACUGGAAAGACUGAGGGGCUCUAAACCCGCUGUCCAAGGGCCAGAGGCUGGAGAGGGGCCUAUGAGAUUGCACUUUGCUGGCGAGGACUUUCCUCUGAACCAUCCGGCCGGUGCCAGGGUUGUGAAGCGGAAAAAAGGCACUUCCGACCCAAGAAUUCUCAAGCUUCCCUGGGAGCGCGCGUCCGGAGAGCGGUGAGGCCCACGCGCGCCCGGAUGUGGCGACCUUGGAGCCCGCGAGAUCUACUGCAGCUUUUGGCUCCCGGGCGUGUGAGAGACGGAAACUUGGCCUCGGUCCUAUCUUGUCCCAGGCGGUUGCCCCAUUUACCUCGGUGGCGGGCCAGACGCGAAGGUACCUAUUUAGCCUUGUCACCCCACCUCCAGUACAGGAGAUUGAACCUAGGCGCCCUAUCAUUCAGCUGCAUCUCCAGCCCCCCUCCCUUCUUUCCUUUCUUUCUUUUCUUUUUUCUUUUCAUUUUGCGAUAGGGCCUUACUCAGUGGUUUAGGCAGGCCUGGAACUUUCGAUUCUGCCUCAGCCUCUAGAAUAUUUCGGAUCGCAGGCGUGCGUCACCGGGCAGGCUAAUAAACAUAUUUUUUAAAUGAAUACGUUAUCAUUAUUUCCUCUUUUUCUAUUAGAACGUGUCUUUUUAAAACUUAUUUUUUGUUGUUGUUUUAGAUGGAUACAAUACCUUUCUAUUUAUCUAUUUUGAUGUAGUUCUGAGAAUCGAAUCCAGUGAGU
This 1106-nucleotide long non-coding RNA is filed under the name Marmota monax (woodchuck). The record is from RNAcentral. Lineage: Eukaryota; Metazoa; Chordata; Mammalia; Rodentia; Sciuridae.